Molecule: ribosomal RNA, 497 nt
Filed under: uncultured bacterium
Lineage: Bacteria
Description: partial 16S ribosomal RNA
Rfam family: Bacterial small subunit ribosomal RNA
Source: RNAcentral
GAUGAACGCUGGCGGCGUGCCUAAUACAUGCCAGUCGAGCGAACGGACGAGAAGCUUGCUUUUCUGAUGUUAGCGGCGGACGGGUGAGUAACACGUGGAUAACCUACCUAUAAGACUGGGAUAACUUCGGGAAACCGGAGCUAAUACCGGAUAAUAUUUUGAACCGCAUGGUUCAUAAGUGAAAGACGGUCUUGCUGUUACUUAUAGAUGGAUCCGCGCUGCAUUAGCUAGUUGGUAAGGUAACGGCUUACCAAGGCAACGAUGCAUAGCCGACCUGAGAGGGUGAUCGGCCACACUGGAACUGAGACACGGUCCAGACUCCUACGGGAGGCAGCAGUAGGGAAUCUUCCGCAAUGGGCGAAAGCCUGACGGAGCAACGCCGCGUGAGUGAUGAAGGUCUUCGGAUCGUAAAACUCUGUUAUUAGGGAAGAACAUAUGUGUAAGUAACUGUGCACAUCUUGACGGUACCUAAUCAGAAAGCCACGGCUAACUACGUG